CAGAUUUCAUGAACAGUUCAUCAUAUCUUCAUGAACAUUUGAUGAGCAAUUCAUGAACUGAAAAUCGACAGUAAUGUUCAUGAACUUUAAUGUUCAUGAACAAUUCAUGAACAAGAAAGGUUCAUGAGCAUUUAAAUGUUCAUGAACAACAAUGAUCAUGAACCCUUUCUUGUUCAUG
Molecule: small RNA, 178 nt
Filed under: Mytilus galloprovincialis (Mediterranean mussel)
Lineage: Eukaryota; Metazoa; Mollusca; Bivalvia; Mytilida; Mytilidae
Source: RNAcentral